This 82-nucleotide transfer RNA is filed under the name Phytomonospora endophytica. Its description in RNAcentral is "tRNA-Ser". The record is from RNAcentral. Lineage: Bacteria; Bacillati; Actinomycetota; Actinomycetes; Micromonosporales; Micromonosporaceae.
CGAGGUUCUCGGCGACCGUCGCGCCCGCCGCUUCGAGGGCGGCGGGCAGGUCGGCGGGUUCGGUGGCCUCGUGCGUCGGCCA